This 253-nucleotide ribosomal RNA is filed under the name uncultured bacterium. RNAcentral's name for it is "partial 16S ribosomal RNA". It matches the Rfam family "Bacterial small subunit ribosomal RNA", at positions 524 to 776 of the family's 1533-position model. The record is from RNAcentral.
UACGUAGGGUGCAAGCGUUGUCCGGAAUUAUUGGGCGUAAAGAGCGUGUAGGCGGCCUGAUAAGCAGGAGGUGAAAUCCUGAGGCUUAACCUCAGGGCUGCCUUCUAGACUGUCCGGCUCGAGCACAGUAGAGGCAGGUGGAAUUCCCGGUGUAGCGGUGGAAUGCGUAGAGAUCGGGAAGAACAGCGGUGGCGAAGGCGGCCUGCUGGGCUGUUGCUGACGCUGAGGCGCGACAGCGUGGGGAGCAAACAGG